Molecule: ribosomal RNA, 257 nt
Filed under: uncultured bacterium
Lineage: Bacteria
Description: partial 16S ribosomal RNA
Rfam family: Bacterial small subunit ribosomal RNA
Source: RNAcentral
UACGGGGGGGUGCGAGCGUUGUCCGGAAUCACUGGGCGUAAAGGGCGCGUAGGUGGUUUGAUAAGGGUGUGGUGAAAAGUCCGGGGGCUCAACCCCGGAUCUGCCGUGCCGACUGUCAAACUCGAGGGCUGUAGAGGCAGACGGAAUUCCGGGUGUAGCGGUGGAAUGCGUAGAGAUCCGGAGGAAGACCGGUGGCGAAGGCGGUCUGCUGGGCGAGUUUCUGACACUGAUGCGCGACAGCGUGGGGAGCAAACAGG